UAGGGAAUCUUCCACAAUGGACGCAAGUCUGAUGGAGCAACGCCGCGUGAGUGAUGAAGGUUUUCGGAUCGUAAAGCUCUGUCUUUGGGAAGAUAAUGACGGUACCCAAGGAGGAAGCCACGGCUAACUACGUGCCAG
This 138-nucleotide ribosomal RNA is filed under the name uncultured bacterium. Its description in RNAcentral is "partial 16S rRNA". It matches the Rfam family "Bacterial small subunit ribosomal RNA", at positions 355 to 511 of the family's 1533-position model. The record is from RNAcentral.